This is a long non-coding RNA of Manis pentadactyla (Chinese pangolin), 1782 nucleotides long. RefSeq lists it as uncharacterized. The transcript has 3 exons. The record is from RefSeq and is a predicted model, not a curated record. NCBI's taxonomy places the organism in Eukaryota, Metazoa, Chordata, Mammalia, Pholidota, Manidae.
UUUGAGGUGCGCUGGCUCCGGGAAAGCAGGAGCUGGUUUCUUGGAACAAGUUGGGGCCUAAAAACUCCCCUUGCUGGUCUGGAAUACGUGGUGCUCCCAGCCACGGCUGGCACCCCUCCAGCUUCCAGGUCUGGGCAUACACUGGAGUCCUGGGCCCCUCCUGUACCCAGGACUCCCCAUUAGCACACGAGCACCCCGAAUGCCCUGGGAGCCCUCCUAGUGCCUGCCCACUGGGCUCAUUCCAGUGCCCCAGCACUGGCGUGCGGGCACUCAGCAAAUGUCUGCUGAGCUGUGAACCAGCAGCGAAUGAACAGACAGGCCCUGCAGGCCUGGGCCUGGGUGAGCGCAGAGUGCCGAGGUCCUGAGGCAGCUUCUGGGGCCCUGGCAUCUCAGGGUUUGAAGCUCUGGCCCCAGAGUCUGCCGACAUCACAGCAGAGCGCUGCGUCCACUGGAAGCCUGGCUCUCUGCCCACACGGCUCUCAGCGCACAGGCGCUCUGCUGCCCCCAUCCCAGGGAGGCUGGCUCGCUUCCUGUUAAUUUUUCCCGGCGCUCCAGGGUUCCUGCCGUGGACCACACAUUCCACACAGUGGACAUGUCAGCUCCAUGCUUUCCCAGAGACCCCACCUUCUCCCCUUCUGCUUUUCCCACUGGAGCUCCCCCGGGUCCCCUUCCCUCCCUCCGAGGCAGCCUCAGGUAGAGCUGCCUGAAAACAUCUUCCUUCUGCCUUCCUCAGCUAACUGGCUGGGCCUUGCGGCCUGGGGUAGAUUAUUUCCUUCCUGAAUGGAGAAGGCGUCUUCCCUGGUCCUCAGCUUCAGCUGCCGGUGACUCAUCGGUCUGAACGUCCCUCCUCAGACUGUGAGCUGAGGCCCCCCGCCCUGCCGAGGGUGUGGGCCCCCAUUCACUCCCCGAGCCACGGUCUCGUGUGUCCUCUAACCUACUCCUCGUCUUUUCUCUAAGCCUGGCUGUUUCCUGGAGUCACCUCUGCGGUCACCCCUCCCACCUGUCUUCUCCGGGAUAUCCAUCAGAGGGGACCGGGGACUCUGGGUACAUUCUGGUGGUGAGCCCUUCUCUCCGGCUCGGUCAUCUUAGUCCUCCUGUGGGGGGGGACCCCUCAACACGCGCUCCUUCCCUCCAACCUCUGCGCGGCCGCAUCUAUCACCGUCCAACAGAAUGAAUGGUAUUUUCUUUGAACUGGCUUCUUUUCUUCCCUGGCUGGUCUCCAGUCCUCCACACACUCUCGUCCCCCUUUGUCUCAGCCUCUGUCGGUCCCUCUCUCAGGCACCAGUUUGUCUUCCAACACCUGGUGGUGCCGGUGGCUGUCAGCUCCCACUUCAGAAACAGGCACGGUGCCGGCAGGUGGCCUCCGCGCCUGGUGCUCCUGUGCACACGAGUCUGUGCUUCCGCCUGCCAGGCUCUUUGGGACGCGCCCCGGCCCACAAGGGUCUGUAACUGGGGCCUGUCCUCCAGCCACGUGGUUCUGCAGAGCACCCACCCAUGAGUGCUCACCCAGCGCUGGCCUUUGCCUGGUAUCCCGGAGCUAGUGCAGGUGAGGGGCCGCGACUCUCCUUCCUGCUGCCCUUGGUACGUGCCAGCCAUGCUGUCCAGGCAACAGUGUCACUGAGAGAUGCUGGAUGCCCUGUGGUGGCCCCUUGGGCCACAGAGGCGAGUCUGCUGCCCAUUAAAGGCAGCCCGGGAAGCUCCCUGGAGAUGAGGACAGCAGGCAGCGAGGGCUGAGUGCUGUCUGUCCUCCCCGUGAGUGUGGGCCCUUCGGGAGAAGGGAGA